Molecule: unclassified non-coding RNA, 636 nt
Filed under: Hevea brasiliensis (rubber tree)
Lineage: Eukaryota; Viridiplantae; Streptophyta; Magnoliopsida; Malpighiales; Euphorbiaceae
Source: RNAcentral
UCCUCUUGAUCUUCAAAUGGGUAUGCUCCAACAAGCAUAACAUACAGAGUCACUCCACAGGACCAUACAUCUGCCAUCUUGCCGUCGUAUUCUCUCCUAGAAAGAACCUCUGGGGCAAUAUAUGCUGGAGUGCCAACUGUGGAUUUGGGUCUUGAAUGCAGCAAUGAUGACUUAGAAUAACCAAAGUCACAGAUUUUCAGUCGUGGUGCUGGGCUUCCGUCCAGCAAGGUAUUUUCUAGCUUCAAAUCUCUAUGGCAAAUUUGCAAAGCAUGGCAGUAACUGACUCCUGAAAUAAGCUGUUGAAAAAAGUAUCUAGCCUCAUCUUCGCUGAAUCUUCCAGCAUUGCAGAUUCGCUCAAAAAGCUCUCCUCCUGCAGCAUAUUCCAUAACAAUGGCGAGAUGGGUUGGUGUCAAAACCACCUCCUUGAAGCGAAUUAUGUGUGGGUGGCUAAGCGAUCUGUGAUUUAUGAUCUCCCUUGCCACAUUCUCAUCAAUCUUGUGGCCGCGCUCGAUGUACUUCAUAGCGACGAGCUCUUUGGUCUCCUUGUUCCUCAUGAGCCUGGCCACUCCAAAAUUCCCAGAUCCUAUAUCUUUCACAAGCUCGUACUUAUCCAUUUUUUUACUUCUUUUAUUUCCC